AUUGCUUCUUGGCCUGGUGGCUAAGAUCAAGUGUAGUAUCUGUUCUUAUCAGAUUAACAUCUGAUAGUCCUCUAGCUGAGGACUAUAUUGGAUUUUUGGAGCAGGGAGUUGGAAUAGGAGCUUGCUCUAUCCAUUCCACUUACCUACCUGGUAUUAAAGUACUCCAGGAAUGGUGUACCCCCU
Small nuclear RNA from Nycticebus coucang (slow loris), 183 nucleotides. RefSeq annotates it as U2 spliceosomal RNA. NCBI's taxonomy places the organism in Eukaryota, Metazoa, Chordata, Mammalia, Primates, Lorisidae. The transcript has a single exon. The record is from RefSeq and is a predicted model, not a curated record.